Transfer RNA from Donghicola sp. KarMa, 82 nucleotides. It matches the Rfam family "tRNA". From Rfam's summary of the family: Transfer RNA (tRNA) molecules are approximately 80 nucleotides in length. NCBI's taxonomy places the organism in Bacteria, Pseudomonadati, Pseudomonadota, Alphaproteobacteria, Rhodobacterales, Roseobacteraceae. The record is from Rfam.
GCGGGUGUGGCGAAAUUGGUAGACGCACCAGAUUUAGGUUCUGGCGCCGCGAGGCGUGGGGGUUCAAGUCCCUCCACCCGCA